CCUCCUUUCUAAGGAGCAUAGAACUUCGGUUCUAAGGUCAAUCGUCGGUUGUCUACAAAGACUAAUACUUUACUCAGCUGUGAAAAAGUCAAAUUGGCUUUUUGAAAAUUGUAUAGCAAGCGCAAUUGCAAAGUAUUUAUUAUAGUUCAAGCUACUAAGGGCUAUUGGUGGAUGCCUUGGCGCUGGAAGCCGAUGAAGGACGUGGAAGACUGCGAAAAGCUACGGGAAGUUGUCAAACAAGCUUUGAUCCGUAGAUUUCCGA
This 262-nucleotide unclassified non-coding RNA is filed under the name uncultured Actinobacteridae bacterium. RNAcentral describes it as "partial 16S-23S ribosomal RNA intergenic spacer". The stretch from base 145 to 262 matches the Rfam family "Bacterial large subunit ribosomal RNA", at positions 1 to 117 of the family's 2925-position model. Lineage: Bacteria; Bacillati; Actinomycetota; Actinomycetes. The record is from RNAcentral.